UCCGAACCCGAUCGGGCCCGCGACCCCACCCGGGGACGGCCUGCGGGAACGAGUUCGCGAGCACUCCCCUCGGUCAUGUAAUGUUUCC
Molecule: transfer RNA, 88 nt
Filed under: Streptomyces hygroscopicus subsp. jinggangensis TL01
Lineage: Bacteria; Bacillati; Actinomycetota; Actinomycetes; Kitasatosporales; Streptomycetaceae
Description: tRNA-Ser
Source: RNAcentral